RNAcentral lists this ribosomal RNA (450 nucleotides) under Ralstonia pickettii. RNAcentral's name for it is "bacterial SSU rRNA". It matches the Rfam family "Bacterial small subunit ribosomal RNA", at positions 30 to 474 of the family's 1533-position model. The record is from RNAcentral. Lineage: Bacteria; Pseudomonadati; Pseudomonadota; Betaproteobacteria; Burkholderiales; Burkholderiaceae.
AUUGAACGCUGGCGGCAUGCCUUACACAUGCAAGUCGAACGGCAGCAUGAUCUAGCUUGCUAGAUUGAUGGCGAGUGGCGAACGGGUGAGUAAUACAUCGGAACGUGCCCUGUAGUGGGGGAUAACUAGUCGAAAGAUUAGCUAAUACCGCAUACGACCUGAGGGUGAAAGUGGGGGACCGCAAGGCCUCAUGCUAUAGGAGCGGCCGAUGUCUGAUUAGCUAGUUGGUGAGGUAAAGGCUCACCAAGGCGACGAUCAGUAGCUGGUCUGAGAGGACGAUCAGCCACACUGGGACUGAGACACGGCCCAGACUCCUACGGGAGGCAGCAGUGGGGAAUUUUGGACAAUGGGCGAAAGCCUGAUCCAGCAAUGCCGCGUGUGUGAAGAAGGCCUUCGGGUUGUAAAGCACUUUUGUCCGGAAAGAAAUGGCUCUGGUUAAUACCUGGGGUC